GGCCAAGUCAAAAAGCAAGCCCCAAUAUACUUUGUAUCCGAAGUUCUUAGUUUAUCAAUGAAAAAUUAUACAAAAUUGGAGAAGGUGCUGAAUGCUGUUUUGAUGGCCUCCAGAAAGCUUCGACACUAUUUUCAAGCAUACAAUAUAAUUGUUCCUUCUUCACAACCAUUGAAGGAUAUUAUGAGAAAUAGAGAAGCUACUGGAAGGGUUGGAAAAUGGGCUGCGGAACUCAAUGAAUUUUGUAUUGAUUAUGUGCAUAGAUCUUCGAUUCAGUCCCAAGCGUUGGCAGACUUUAUUGCUGACUGGACGCCAGGGGCUCAGGAAGAAGAAAUGAGUAAAGAUGCCGAAGUUUGGACAAUAUUUUGUGAUGGUUCUUGGGGAACCUUCGGAGCAGGAGCAGCUGCUGUGUUGGUCGCACCUUCCAAAGUUAAAACUUGCUACGCAACAAGACUUGAUUUCAGUUGCACAAAUAACAUUGCUGAAUAUGAAGCUUUCCUCUUGGGUCUUUGGAAAUUAAAGGCAAUGGGAAUUAGAAGGGCGGUUCUUAAAACCGAUUCCCAGGUUAUUUCUGGUCAUAUUGACAAGAGUUAUAAAGCAAGAGAUCCGAAGCUUGAAAAGUAUUUAGACACGGUCCAAAGGAUUGAGGCUUCCUUUGAGGGGUUUUCUGUCAAAAAUAUUCCUCGAGGAGAAAAUGAAUAUGCUGAUUUGUUAUCCAAGUCAGCAGCACAGGGGCUGCCCUUACCUUCGGAAGUAUUUUUCGAAACAUUAAAAGCACCUUCGGUCGAGCUUCUUGAAAGAGCAGUCCUCAACAUAUCUCCUGUCUAUAGUGAAGACUGGAGAACUGAGAUCAUUUCUUUCCUUCAGGGCAACUUUCUUUCAGAUGACGAAGCUUAUAAUAAGAGGAUAGAGGCAAGAGCUUGACCAUAUGUAAUAAUAGAAGGGGAGCUAUACAAGCAUGGGGUCUGUUCUCCAUUACUCAAAUGUUUAUCCAGAGCCGAAGGUAUAGAAUUGAUGAAGGAAAUACACAGAGGCCUGUGUGGAUCUCAUAUUGGAUCUAGGCCUUUGCUGGGAAAAGUAUUUCGCCAAGGAUUUUAUUGGCCAAAGGCAGCUUCAGAUGCAGCGGAAUUAGUCCAAAUGUGCGAAGGUUGUCAGAAAUGUGCAAGAGAUGAAAAACAACCUUCGUCUUUAACCCAGUUAAUACAACCCACUUGGCCAUUGCAAAGGUGGGGUCUUGAUUUAUUAGGUCCAUUACCACCAGCACAAGGGAACUUAAGAUAUGUUGUAGUGGCAGUAGAAUAUUUUUCUAAAAGGAUUGAGGCAAAGCCUUUAGCCACAAUAACUUCGGUCACUAUUCAAAAGUUUUUCUGGCAAAAUAUUGUUUGUCACUUCGGAGUGCCGAAGGCUAUUACUGUGGAUAAUGGGACGCAGUUUGAUUCUGGAGCUUUCAGAGAAUUUUGUGAUCAAAUUGGCACGAAGAUCCAUUUUUGUAAAGCCCAAAAUUUAUGUAAAAAUAAUAAUAAUAUGCAAUCUAAUCCAUCCCUUAUAAGCUAUGUAUUAAGAAUACUCUUUAAAGUAGUUAGAUUAAAAUAAUUUAUUAUAGGAACUUCCCAUUAUCCUCUACUAGAAUAAAAAGGAAUGAUGAUUCUAAGAUUUUAGUAACUCAAAAUUUUGAUUGGAAACUAGAAAUUAAAAUUUGAACUCCAAACAUAAAAAUGUGUGAUUUCCAAACUAAUUGGUUUCGAGAGAAUACUCCUUACUCGAAUAGUAUCUUUAGAGGGGUCAACAUGAAUUAAUUAAAAUAAACCUUGCAUCAUGCUGGGAUUUUAUGGCUUGUGCAUUUAGGUUUGUCAAACUUAAACUUGAAUUUGAAUUUGUGAACCGAAAAUUGACUUGAAUCUAAAAUAAAAAAACACAGAAAUUAGAAAAAAAAUAGAAAGUAGAAAAAAAAUGGUGAAUUGGCCGGCCGGCUGGGUCGGAUUUUCCAGCCAAUUUAUCUUUUUCUGACGGCAGCUCACAUCCCCUUGAUUUUUUUCCAUUUCUUUAUUCCUCUAGCCGAAUUUUGCUUCAUCAUGAGAUCGUAGAUGGCAUUAUCCAAUGAGUCUCCGUCGUGUGGAGUGCUUAGACCAGUUCAUCUUCUACCGAGAACGGAACGUGGACCAGAGUUCCGCCCGGAUUUUUCUCGCCGAAAACCAACGACCUCUACCAGGAGCUUUAGUGCCUCAGCCAGUACGUGAUGGCGCGCUUCUUGCACUAAUCUAUGGGAUCCAAUUACCAGCUAUUUCUCCUCCAACGGAAUCCUUCUCAGACCCGGAUCACCGUAAUCAGUUGCCGCCAUAUCCGGCUUGAGUUUGAUCCAUGCAUGCUAUAACAAACUGCCGAGAGAUUCUCUCUGACUCAGGAUAUAAAGCCCCUGCGACCCCGGCCACCCAAACGCAUAGCACCAGAGAGACGAGAGGGGUGAGAGAAGAACCCAGCCGCCGCCGUCGAACUCGAUCGUGUUGUGUCUGGCCUAGUCCUUGAUGAGAAGUUGUGGGGGUUCACCGAGGACUACAGAGCGAGAGAUCGGGAGAGAGAGAGUGAAGAAAGGUCUCCAUCGGCGGCGUCCGUUUCGUCGCGGGGCGUGGGUCACCAGUGGCGAGCAGUUUUCCUGGCGCGCUAAUCUCUGGUGAGCUCCGUUUUUUUUCUUCUUCCGCUGCGAAGUAAUCAACCGCCAAUUUUGUUACUCGAUAGGGGCGGGAUAUGGCGCGGAUGGAGCCUGGGGUUCACCGGUAUUUUAGUGGAGAUCGGCGGCGAGCUAUGGAGUUCCCGCCAUGGAGCGCUGUCGGUUGUGUCGGGACGCUGUGAGGUAGAAGAAGGUCGGCGUCCGUUGACCUCGUGCUGUACGGUGGUGAUUAGAAGAUGCCUAAUACCCCUUCACCGUGUGCUUUUUAUAUAAGAGACCCUAGAAAAUAUGUUAACUAACCCGCAGUACUGCGCCGGGGGCUCUGUGUCUUAGGAACAUUUAUGUAGAGGCCCCUGCUCUUCUCUGUUUUCAUGUGCCCAAUCCCGAGAUUUAUAAAAUCCAGUAAAAGUAAUUAGAAAAUGAUUUUUUAUGUGAAAAUAAAUGCUAGAACUUGUUUAAUUCAUAUAAAAUUCAUAUGAAGUCCAAAUCAAUACAUUCCAAUUUCUAUAAUUUUAUAAUAUUAUUGUCUACUAAUUAGUGCCACUUUUUUAACAAAAAAGUCACAUUAAAAUUAAUAUCCUAUUUAAUCUUGUGUUGAAUACAUAAAUCCUCUAUAAAAUCAUAACUCCUUAACCAUAACUCCGAUUUUAGUGGUUCUCGUUCUCACGGUCUCGUAGUAACGCGUAGAUUAUUAUUACACAGUUUAAUCUUAUGUUUGUUGUGAUGUUAAUUCUGCUUAUACCAUGUUUGUUUGUAUUGCUACGACUAGCGUGAGGUCACGAGUCAUCUGAAGAUCAUCCUGGUACCUGGAAUCUCAAGUCCCAGGCAAGUUGUGCCCUUGAUCACUUCUUUUUACCCACUCAUGUUCUAAUUAAUCAUAAUGAUCUGCAUAGGUUAAUUUUGAUGGGACCCAAUAGGUUACCCUAGUUUGAUUAUCUUUAUACCUUGUUUACCACUGAACUUUUUGGGUAGUACUUGCUAGUGCUUUAUGUGGUUUUGGGUAUGAAGAUACAUUAUUCAUGAUCACACUUUUAUUAUCUGUUUAUUAUCACUGUUCAUGAUAAGAUCAUUAUGUUAAUUGGAACAUGGAGCGACCACCCGGGAAAACAGUGCUACCACAAGGGUUUAUGGACGCCCUUGGCUGAUUAAUUAGGAAAGCUAGUGGAGGACUACCUUACUCGAAAGGGGCAAGGGCAGUAGGGGAGUGGUCAGUGUAGGGAGGUCCUUGGUUGAUUUUGCUGCGAUGGCGGUCAGGCAAGAACCCUGCAUUGGAGCUUCCUAUAAACUGUAGCGGGUUUUUUGAAGCUAGUGGAACUUUGUAAAGGCCUCGUAGUGUUACCCUGCCUCGCCUCCUCGGUAGAGGUGUAUGGGAAGUCGCGAUCCCUUGGCAGAUGGGUAACAUGACUUGUGGGUAAAGAUGUGCAACCUCUAGAGAGUGUAAAACUGGUAUACUAGCCGUGCUCACGGUCAUGAGCAGCUCGGACCCUCACAUGAUUAACUUAUGGAACUAAAUGCAAUUUGUCAUAUGCAUUGCAUCGCAGGUGAUGUUGUUACUUAUGUUCUACUAUUUAAUUGGGUUGGUACUUACUUAUACUUAGUAACUGCUAAUAAAAUUUUGACCAACUUUAAAAGCAAUGCUCAGCUCUAACCAUCCUCUUUGGUAAGCCUUACACUUCACGUGAGCUCCCACCUUUGGCGAGUUCAUGCACAUUAUUCCCCACAACUUGUUGAGCGAUGAACGUAUGUGAGCUCACUCUUGCUGUCUCACACCCCCCCACAGGUUAAGAACAGGUACCGCAGGAUGAGGCGCAAGGAGGAUGCUGCGAUGAGUUCGUGAGAGAUCUAGGCCGUCGUCUCCCAGUCAACUUUGGGUUGCUGGACCGUUGUCUCCUUAUAAUGUAAUUAUUUAUUUAUUUUGUAUAGAACUCCUAUUAUAUAGUAAAGAUGUGACAUUCGAUCCUGUGCCAUGAUUCAUCAUAUGUGUGAGACUUGGUCCCAGCACACCUGGUGAUUAUGUUCGCGCCCGGGCUUUGGACCCCUAAAACCCGGGUGUGACAGAAGUGGUAUCAGAGGAAUGUUGACUGUAGGACGAAACCUAGAUAGAACUGGACAACCAAUACUUACUUACCUUUGCUACUCUGAUUCUUUUCUAUACUUUUCUUAAUCUUUUCUCAUCUAUUUCCGCUUUACUCUGAUUAUCCUUACCUUUUCCUUCUAAAGACAAACUUGGAUUUCACACUUUGAAAUCUUGUGCCUAAAGUGAUCUUUAGGAAUAGGAGACCUACUCUUAGGAACAAAAACAAAACUAUUUUUGUAGGUAUCUAUAUACUUGAAUGUUUUGUUCUUAUGAUAAUUGUUUGAUUUGGUUCUUUGAUUGAGUGAGAUGAGUUGUGGAGUAAUGUCCACAAUGGCAUCUACAUAUACAUAUAAGCAUAAUAAAUGUCUUAUAAGAUAACUAGCUAACCUAGAUUAUCCCCAUUGGAAUAUAUCUAGCUUAAGAGAUUUAUCUUAUCCUAAAAGAUCCCAUUCUAACCAAUUCAUCUUAUCUUAAAAGAUUCUCUCUUAUCUUAAUAGAUUCAUCUUAUCUUGAAAAGAUUUUAUCUUAUCCAAAUAGAUCUAACUUACCUCAAAAGAUUCUACCUUAUCCUUAUGGAUUCAUCUUGCCCUAAUAAGCAUAUUUACCCCACACUAGUGUAACAACCAUGAUUUAAUCCAAAGUAAUUAGAUAUUGUUUAAUCUAAUCUAGUGAUAUCAAUCUAAUCUAGACUACAUCUAAUCUACUAUGAUCCAAUCUAAAAUGAGUUACCUAACAAGAUAGUCAAUCCUGGUGGAAUACAUUAGACCCUGCUCCUUUAAAUAAGUUUGAGAUCUUAGAUCAACUUGACCCUACCCAACAACUUGACCUACAAAACAGGUUACACAACUAAUUCCAUCUAGCAUAUAGCUAUUGAACCCUUUACCCAUCUUGUAACAAACCUAGAUGAAGACACCAAAGCUCGAGGAAGAAAGGAUCAACCGCGUUAAGGAAGGAUAAGAGUCAAGCCAAAUAUGGUCUUCAGCCCCAACUCAAGCCUUCAAAGAUCAAGCUAGAUCACCAAGAUGAGUCAAGAUCCACAAUCCGAGAUGGAGUUCUUCCUUACCCUACUAUGUCCUGCCCUAACCUAUCCAUCUCUUAUUCCACAUAAUAAGUAGCUGGAUACAUAUGCUCUCCUAAUCACCCACUAUUGACUAACAAAAUGAGACUCUGAAUUUUUGAACCAAUUAUAGACUAACAGCUGACCAAUCCUUUUGUGUCCCUUUUCUCACAAAUCUCGAGGACGAGAUUUCUGUUAAGGGGGGUAGGAUUUGUAAAGCCCAAAAUUUAUGUAAAAAUAAUAAUAAUAUGCAAUCUAAUCCAUCCCUUAUAAGCUAUGUAUUAAGAAUACUCUUUAAAGUAGUUAGAUUAAAAUAAUUUAUUAUAGGAACUUCCCAUUAUCCUCUACUAGAAUAAAAAGGAAUGAUGAUUCUAAGAUUUUAGUAACUCAAAAUUUUGAUUGGAAACUAGAAAUUAAAAUUUGAACUCCAAACAUAAAAAUGUGUGAUUUCCAAACUAAUUGGUUUCGAGAGAAUACUCCUUACUCGAAUAGUAUCUUUAGAGGGGUCAACAUGAAUUAAUUAAAAUAAACCUUGCAUCAUGCUGGGAUUUUAUGGCUUGUGCAUUUAGGUUUGUCAAACUUAAACUUGAAUUUGAAUUUGUGAACCGAAAAUUGACUUGAAU
This 6419-nucleotide long non-coding RNA is filed under the name Zea mays. RNAcentral's name for it is "long non-coding RNA (ZMAY_LNC005400)". The record is from RNAcentral. Lineage: Eukaryota; Viridiplantae; Streptophyta; Magnoliopsida; Poales; Poaceae.